RNAcentral lists this non-coding RNA (21 nucleotides) under Caenorhabditis elegans. The record is from RNAcentral. Lineage: Eukaryota; Metazoa; Nematoda; Chromadorea; Rhabditida; Rhabditidae.
UAAUAAUGUGAAACAGGCAUU